ACAUUUCCUAAUAAUUUAUAAUAGGUAAAACCUGCUCAAUGAAUGAAUUCAAUAGCCGCAAUUUACUUGUGCUAAGGUAGCAUAAUCAUUUGUUUUUUAAUUAAAAACUAGAAUGAAAGGUUAAACAUUUAAAUUUCUUUAUUAAAUUGUAUUCUUUAACUUAUAUUAAGUAUAAAAAUAUAUUUUUAAAAAAAAAAGACGACAAGACCCUAUUAAACUUAACUUAUGUUAAACUGGGGCAGUUUUCUAAUAAAAAUUUUAGUACUAUUAUUUUAAUAGAUGAAAAUCUAAUAAUAUUAAAUAAACAAGUUACUAUAGGGAUAACAGCGUUAUACUUUUUAAAAGUUCAUAUUUAAAACAGUGAUUGCGACCUCGAUGUUGAAUUAUAUUUCUAUAAUAAAGCAAACAUUUUAUAAGUAGGUCUGUUCGACCUUUAAAAUAUUACAUGA
Molecule: ribosomal RNA, 449 nt
Filed under: Anelosimus pomio
Lineage: Eukaryota; Metazoa; Arthropoda; Arachnida; Araneae; Theridiidae
Description: partial 16S ribosomal RNA
Source: RNAcentral